RNAcentral lists this long non-coding RNA (3122 nucleotides) under Capsicum annuum. Its description in RNAcentral is "long non-coding RNA (CANN_LNC002705)". The record is from RNAcentral. Lineage: Eukaryota; Viridiplantae; Streptophyta; Magnoliopsida; Solanales; Solanaceae.
GUGGACGUCACAUGGCAAUGCCACCUCACCACUAGAGUUUUAUUUCUUAAUAUUUCUUUUUUUUCAUUUCAAAUUUUAUCCUUUUAGUUUCAAUAAAAGGGACAAUUUUUCCUAUAAAAAUUUUAUCGUUUUGUGUAGCUUACAUCAAAAUGCACUAUCAUUUCAUUGAUGCAAGAUUGUCUUGAAAAAGUUCGGGUUUAACCCUGUACCCAUAUUAUGAAAUGGGUUCAAGAAUUGUUAAGGCUUCACUGAGGCGACCAUUUGUGUAGAGAUAAUUCAAAUGGGUAUUUGUGAAUCGUUAUUCUUGGGUAAUAGUUGGUGAAAAAUUGAUGCGUUUUUAUUUUUUUAUGAUAAUUUUUGGGUAGUUUUGAAAGUGUUGGAAAAAUUGAUUUAAUCUCCCCAGGACUGAGUGUUUUAUCUCUUUUCGGGUUCCACUUUGGUGAUAAAAUGGUUUUGAUCUUAAAACUAUUUAUUAAAAAAAAAUUGAGAAAAUUUUGAAAUAAUUUUAAGAAAAUUUACAGAGUCGCCACUUAAUUUUUAUAGAAAAAAAUUUAAAAGAGGUUCAAAGGUUCAAAAACAUAAAUAAAUCUUUCAAACUAGAGAUUCUGAGUAAGGGUUCAAUUAACACCCUAAAAAGGUUUUUAAGGCACUUAAGAGCGUCCGUUUAAAACGGUUUACCAAAAAGAACUAACUUGGUUAAUUAAAGGUGGCUAAUUUCGCAAAAGGUUGAUUUUAUAGAAAAUAUAAAAAAUAUUGAAAAAUGAUAUUUAUUUAUUCAAAAGAGAGAAAUUCUAUUUGAAUUAAACUAAGUUGUCAUUUCUUUGGGACUUAAAAAAAAAAACAAUUUUUAUCUUUAUUAUGAAAAAAAGAAGUUUGCGUAAUUAUUAUUUAAUUACUUUUUAUUAUUAUUAAACCAUAGAAAAUCCGAAUAACACUUUUCGGGAAGAACGUUAAGGGCACACCAUAAACACCUUAUUAAUUAUAGAAAGUUCGAAUUUACAAAAAAAAUUAGUUUCAUGAAUUUGAAGGAAAUUAAUUUAAUUCAAAUAAUUUAUUAAUGACAUUAGCAAAAUAAAGUGCCAUAAAAAAUAUUUAAUUUUUAAGCGACUUGUUGUAAGAAGAAAAUUGAAGGAAACAAUUUAAUCCAUUUUUAUACGAAAUAAUAUUAGGUGAAAAAGUCGUGAAUUAAGUAAAGGGGACUAAGAUAAAAUGACGACAUCUUAGAAAAUUUACCUAGAUUAAUUAAUCUUAGAAAAUUUACCUAGAUUAAAUAAUCUAAAAAUGUUAGUUAGCACCAAUAAAUAAUACAAGCCACAAAUAAGCAAUAUAAACUACAAAGAUGGAUAUAAGAAUUGAAUUGGGCCAAACAAAGCUGCUCAUUUCUGGGGCUUACAAUUAUGGACUUCGGGUCCAUUUUCUGAACUGUAUACCAGCUAUAUAUCACAGCUCUUUCCCCUGCGUUUUUUUGGUAUAGACGCUGUAUAUCACCGUACGACAACCGUACAAUUGCUUCCAAUCUUGUUAUGCAUCAUGUUGCACAUAUACCAGCCACUUUCAGAUCAUAAAUACUGUAUAUUUUCUGUAUAUCCGUGUAUAUCAGUAGCUGUUCAUUCAUACUAGUCCUUUUGAAGAAGUAGGAGGCUCGACUCAAUGCUACGGAGGCUUCGCACCAAGGGUAUGCAAGAUGAGGAGUCCAAAUGGACUCAAUCAGGAGAGUUCAUGCACAGAAAACGAGAUAAGGAUGAGCAUCCAAGAAGAAUCUUUAAACAAUAAUCAAGCAAGUAAAAACACUCAAACAAAAUGCUUAAUGCUCAAUUAUGUGAAGCAGAGCAAUCUCAAUACAAAAUGCGAGGCUCGUAAUUAUCACAUUCCGUUAACACCACGCAAUUUCUAUGAUUCAAGCAUUCCGUCCAACAAUUAUACUAUAGUUUACAAGAUUUCCGAGGAAACUUGAAUUAGCUUAUGGAUAUCAAGCUAUGUGCAAACCAGAGAAUGUAUUCAUGAUAGAGAAAAGUACAUAAGAGUUAAAAACUUUGAAUCCCUUAGUCAAAGCCUCGUAUAGCUAUUAUUUAAGCUCCACCUUACAACAAAGAUACUGAUUUUGAAGUAAAUCAAUGACCAAAACAUGCUAUCCUUAGUGAAAUCUUUAGCUUAAUAAUUUGUUCAAACAAUAAAACAUAUACUCAACACACUCAAACAUCAAGAUAAUUCAACACCCAGACUUUACUGUUACUUCCAGAAAACACCAUUCAAACGACCAACAUCCCACGGAGAUCCAACUAUUCUAACAACAACAACACAGUAACAACACUUAACAAAUCGGACCCCAAGAAAAAUACCACGACAAGAAGGAUUAGGAUCCAUUUAAACUUCCACAUAAAUAACAGAUUCAAGAUUUUUCCUUAUUAAUAAAACCUAAUCUAUGGCACAUGGGAGAUGGACAAAAAAGGGGUUACCUUUAUCCGGGCAGCAAAUGGGACGACGAGCCUAAAACGAUGAGGUUUUUCACCACCAGAUUUUAACUCGAUUUCGUCGAAAUUUUGGUUGCGUGAAGUUAGAGACACGCGUCUCCAGAACCCCCAAUUUUUCCCCAAAAAUUCCUCCCCUUGACCCCUAUCCCUCAACCUCUAUUUAUAGGUGAAAAAAGUUGAGGGAUUUUCGGAUUUGAAAACUGAAAUUCAAGUGGUUUCUUCAGAAAUUUUGAAGCCCGUUGUAGGACAAAAAAUAGAGCCGUUGGGCAUUAAUUGCCUACCCGAAAUGGUGAAUUACAGACUGAGAAGGAUGAAAGGUGGACGAAUUUCUAGCCGUUCUUGGCAUUGUUAACCGCUGUCUAACAGUUGUAUCAACAGCUAUUGUUGAAGCUUAUGUUGUACGCUGUUAAGGUUUUGCGUUGAAAUCAUUGCUGUUGUUCGAUGAAAUUGUUGUUGUUGGUUGAACUUGCACGCUGUUAUAGCGUUUGUUGUUGCUCUGGUGGAGUUUUGACUGUGCGUUGUUGUUGAAUUGGGUGAGAAGAGUUAAGGGUAUUGGGUCGGGUCCCUUAUGUGGCGCUGGGCUGGUUGCUGUUGAAGUUGUUAUGGGCUGGGGGUGAGAAAAAUAAGGGGGGUGUGGCCGGAUUUGGGCCA